This 464-nucleotide ribosomal RNA is filed under the name uncultured bacterium. Its description in RNAcentral is "bacterial SSU rRNA". It matches the Rfam family "Bacterial small subunit ribosomal RNA", at positions 338 to 795 of the family's 1533-position model. The record is from RNAcentral.
CCUACGGGUGGCUGCAGUGGGGAAUUUUGGGCAAUGGGCGAAAGCCUGACCCAGCAACGCCGCGUGAAGGAUGAAAUCCCUCUGGGAUGUAAACUUCGAAAGUCGGGAAAGAAAUCGCCAUGGAGAAUACCUGUGGUGGAUGACGGUACCCGACGUAAGCCCCGGCUAACUACGUGCCAGCAGCCGCGGUAAUACGUAGGGGGCAAGCGUUGUUCGGAAUUACUGGGCGUAAAGGGCGCGUAGGCGGCAUGGCAAGUCGGGAGUGAAAGCCCGGGGCUCAACCCCGGAACUGCUUUCGAAACUGCCAAGCUAGAGUACGGAAGGGGCAACUGGAAUUCCCAGUGUAGCGGUGAAAUGCGUAGAUAUUGGGAAGAACACCGGAGGCGAAGGCGGGUUGCUGGGCCGAUACUGACGCUGAGGCGCGAAAGCCAGGGGAGCAAACGGGAUUAGAUACCCUGGUAGUC